This 497-nucleotide ribosomal RNA is filed under the name uncultured bacterium. RNAcentral describes it as "partial 16S ribosomal RNA". It matches the Rfam family "Bacterial small subunit ribosomal RNA", at positions 28 to 507 of the family's 1533-position model. The record is from RNAcentral.
GAUGAACGCUGGCGGCGUGCCUAAUACAUGCAAGUCGAGCGAACGGACGAGAAGCUUGCUUCUCUGAUGUUAGCGGCGGACGGGUGAGUAACACGUGGAUAACCUACCUAUAAGACUGGGAUAACUUCGGGAAACCGGAGCUAAUACCGGAUAAUAUUUUGAACCGCAUGGUUCAAAAGUGAAAGACGGUCUUGCUGUCACUUAUAGAUGGAUCCGCGCUGCAUUAGCUAGUUGGUAAGGUAACGGCUUACCAAGGCAACGAUGCAUAGCCGACCUGAGAGGGUGAUCGGCCACACUGGAACUGAGACACGGUCCAGACUCCUACGGGAGGCAGCAGUAGGGAAUAUUCCGCAAUGGGCGAAAGCCUGACGGAGCAACGCCGCGUGAGUGAUGAAGGUCUUCGGAUCGUAAAACUCUGUUAUUAGGGAAGAACAUAUGUGUAAGUAACUGUGCACAUCUUGACGGUACCUAAUCAGAAAGCCACGGCUAUCUACGUG